RNAcentral lists this long non-coding RNA (429 nucleotides) under Sinocyclocheilus grahami. RNAcentral's name for it is "lncRNA (ENSSGRG00000021414.1)". Lineage: Eukaryota; Metazoa; Chordata; Actinopteri; Cypriniformes; Cyprinidae. The record is from RNAcentral.
CUUGUUGUGAAAUCCAGACUGACAGGUCUUGGUAAUUUGUACUCCUUUGAAUCCUUUGUAUCCAAAUGGAUUAAUUGUCUUUCAUACAGAAAGUGUUGAGAUCAUACCUACAAGUGGCACAACCCAGCUGAACUUGACAACUCUGGUGGCAGUGUCAACUGCAAUGGCAUCUGCUCAAAGCAGCAGUGGUGUUUCAGCAGCAGCGAUUGGCUGCGUCAUCUUAUCUAUUGCUCUGCUUAUGGUUAUUGUUUUAAACGCUGCUGCCUAUGCACAUUUCAAAAGAGCAAAGGAAUGUGUGAUUUACCAACAACACAGUAAUUCUCACACAAGCCUGGAGAACCAGUCCAAUGCACAGAUAGGAAUUUACAACACACAAUCUGUCCACACUGCUGGGGGGGAUCAGUAUGGUUUGUAUUGCUAUUGUUUUUA